This 463-nucleotide long non-coding RNA is filed under the name Vigna radiata. RNAcentral describes it as "long non-coding RNA (VRAD_LNC017816)". The record is from RNAcentral. Lineage: Eukaryota; Viridiplantae; Streptophyta; Magnoliopsida; Fabales; Fabaceae.
AAUAAACAAAAAAAAAACUAAAUAACAAGUAAAAUAAAAUAAAAAGAUAACCAAAUUGGGCCAAGGCCCAAGUGUAAAGAGGGCGAGAUAUUUAGCAGAAAUAGGGGUGCAGAAGAGAUCUUUUGAUUGGUUGCCAAAAUGGGUUUGAGCCCAAAAAAAAAGGGGCUNNGAAUGGAAGCAAANGGGGUGCAAAAAGGGCUUUCUGUUUAAACGCAGAUUGGGUCCAAGCCCAUAUGAAAAGGGGUGGUGAAGAAUAAGAGCGGGGGUGCGGAAACUGUUUUCUUUUUGGGCAAUCUCUAGUUUUCGUCUCGCAUCUGUCCGGUGUUAUUGUCCACCACUGCCCGUUGCCGCUUGCCACCAAUCGCCACCUGUCGGCUGUCCACUGUCGCUGGCCACCGUCACCGGCCAUCUGGCCGUCUUCGACCACCGUCUUCGGCCACCGCCGCCGACCACUAGUCCUACC